Molecule: long non-coding RNA, 625 nt
Organism: Cannabis sativa
Lineage: Eukaryota; Viridiplantae; Streptophyta; Magnoliopsida; Rosales; Cannabaceae
Exons: 2
Source: RefSeq, a predicted model, not a curated record
ACCCUUAACUAUCAACUAAUUUCUUUUUUUAAAAAAAAACUAUUAACUAAUAAAAAACAUAUUAUAUUCAAAACAAAAAAAACCCUGCUAUCUUAAAAAAUCUAUUAACUAAUAAAAAACAAAUUGUGUUCAUCUUCUCCAACCACGUUCAUCUUCACAGACUACAGAGAGAAGAGAAGCCAAAUCAACAAAAAUAUCUCCAUUCCAGACUUCUCUCAUGCCGGCCGUGGUCGGAGAAGAUGAACCUCGAACAUACCGUUGCUGCCGUGGUCGGAGAAGGUCUCGCCCAACACUUUCUCUCUCCCCGGCGCUGAUGGCUCGUCCCGUAGUCGUAGAAGAAGGUCUCACCAGAAGCUGAUGGGUUGUGGUCGGAGAAGAACGUCCAGCCACCACCUUUUUCUCUCUCGCCGACUCUAGUUCCACAGAUUUAGGGAUUUUGGUUUUCUUUUUUUUUUGAAUGAAAGGGAUUUUGGUUUUUGUUUACAGAAUUUGUAUUAAUUAUUUUAUUUCAGAUUUUAUUAUAAAUAAUUUUUAUGUAAAUAUUUUUUUUAAAGUAAAUUAAAUUUUUAUUUUAAUGGUUAAUAUUAAGUGGCUAUUUAAUAAAAUGAUGUGGCAUUUUUUUAAA